Long non-coding RNA from Lycium ferocissimum, 372 nucleotides. RefSeq lists it as uncharacterized. Lineage: Eukaryota; Viridiplantae; Streptophyta; Magnoliopsida; Solanales; Solanaceae. The record is from RefSeq and is a predicted model, not a curated record. The transcript has 2 exons.
UAGCAAUAUGGGUGUCCUUAGAUUCGUAUUCUAACGUAGAUCGCAUAUUUUAUAGAUUUUGAUCAUUCAGAGGCUCUACGUAAAGGGAAGACAUUAGUUUGAUUGUUCGUGGCACCCGCUCGGCAUUGAAAGUACGAUCCAGGCUCUAGUUCUACACCCCGUGGCUGAUACGUGAGGGUGACAUCUUUCAGUAAUUCAGGGUGAGCUACUUGGUCAUCCGUGGCCCCUGAAGGACCUCCUCUAUUUAUUUCUGUUUUUGUAUUCGACAGACAGUAUGUAGCCUUCGGGUAUUUUCAGACUUAUAUUCCAUACUAUGUUAGCGCUCUUGUACCCUUUGACCAGAUUUUGGGGUUGUCGUGACAUUUCUAGUUA